RNAcentral lists this ribosomal RNA (492 nucleotides) under uncultured bacterium. RNAcentral describes it as "partial 16S ribosomal RNA". It matches the Rfam family "Bacterial small subunit ribosomal RNA", at positions 29 to 507 of the family's 1533-position model. The record is from RNAcentral.
AGUGAACGCUGGCGGUAGGCCUAACACAUGCAAGUCGAACGGCAGCACAGUAAGAGCUUGCUCUUACGGGUGGCGAGUGGCGGACGGGUGAGGAAUACAUCGGCAUCUACUUUUUCGUGGGGGACAACGUAGGGAAACUUACGCUAAUACCGCAUACGACCUACGGGUGAAAGCAGGGGAUCUUCGGACCUUGCGCGAUCGAAUGAGCCGAUGUCGGAUUAGCUAGUUGGCGGGGUAAAGGCCCACCAAGGCGACGAGCCGUAGCUGGUCUGAGAGGAUGAUCAGCCACACUGGAACUGAGACACGGUCCAGACUCCUACGGGAGGCAGCAGUGGGGAAUAUUGGACAAUGGGCGCAAGCCUGAUCCAGCCAUACCGCGUGGGUGAAGAAGGCCUUCGGGUUGUAAAGCCCUUUUGUUGGGAAAGAAAAGCAGCAGGUUAAUACCCCGCUGUUCUGACGGUACCCAAAGAAUAAGCACCGGCUAACUUCGUG